UACGAAGGGUGCAAGCGUUACUCGGAAUUACUGGGCGUAAAGCGUGCGCAGGCGGUUUUGUAAGUCUGACGUGAAAUCCCCGGGCUUAACCUGGGAAUUGCGUUGGAGACUGCAUCGCUGGAGUGCGGCAGAGGGGGAUGGAAUUCCGCGUGUAGCAGUGAAAUGCGUAGAUAUGCGGAGGAACACCGAUGGCGAAGGCAAUCCCCUGGGCCUGCACUGACGCUCAUGCACGAAAGCGUGGGGAGCAAACAGG
This 253-nucleotide ribosomal RNA is filed under the name uncultured bacterium. RNAcentral's name for it is "partial 16S ribosomal RNA". It matches the Rfam family "Bacterial small subunit ribosomal RNA", at positions 524 to 776 of the family's 1533-position model. The record is from RNAcentral.